Perognathus longimembris pacificus (Pacific pocket mouse) is the source of this 147-nucleotide long non-coding RNA. RefSeq lists it as uncharacterized. The transcript has 4 exons. The record is from RefSeq and is a predicted model, not a curated record. NCBI's taxonomy places the organism in Eukaryota, Metazoa, Chordata, Mammalia, Rodentia, Heteromyidae.
AGUGAAACUGACUUUGGUAGAGAGGGCACAUUGUAUGUAUGUUUAUGGGAACUAGAGAAGGGGAACACCAUAAUGGAGGAAGGGUAAAAGGCAAACUAAUGCAACAGCAAUACUUACAAGACAAUAUGCUAUACACCAACUGUACAU